Molecule: ribosomal RNA, 252 nt
Filed under: uncultured bacterium
Lineage: Bacteria
Description: partial 16S ribosomal RNA
Rfam family: Bacterial small subunit ribosomal RNA
Source: RNAcentral
UACGUAGGUCCCGAGCGUUGUCCGGAUUUAUUGGGCGUAAAGCGAGCGCAGGUGGUUUAUUAAGUCUGGUGUAAAAGGUAAUGGCUCAACCAUUGUAUGCAUUGGAAACUGGUAGACUUGAGUGCAGGAGAGGAGAGUGGAAUUCCAUGUGUAGCGGUGAAAUGCAUAGAUAUCACGCAGAACUCCGAUUGCGAAGGCAGCGCACCGGCGCCCUACUGACGCUCAGGCACGAAAGCGUGGGUAUCGAACAGG